GAUCCUGGCUCAGGAUGAACGCUGGCGGCGCGCCUAACACAUGCAAGUCGAACGGCACCUAUCUUCGGAUAGAAGCGAGUGGCGAACGGCUGAGUAACACGUGGAGAACCUGCCCCCCUCCCCCCGGGAUAGCCGCCCGAAAGGACGGGUAAUACCGGAUACCCCGGGGUGCCGCAUGGCACCCCCGGCCUAAAGCCCCGACCGGGAGGGGAGUGGCUCCGCGGCCCAUCAGGUAGACGGCGGGGUGGACGGCCCACCCGUGCCGACAACGGGUAGCCGGGUUG
This 284-nucleotide ribosomal RNA is filed under the name uncultured bacterium. RNAcentral describes it as "partial 16S ribosomal RNA". It matches the Rfam family "Bacterial small subunit ribosomal RNA", at positions 15 to 294 of the family's 1533-position model. The record is from RNAcentral.